RNAcentral lists this ribosomal RNA (501 nucleotides) under Triticum aestivum (bread wheat). RNAcentral's name for it is "partial small subunit ribosomal RNA". The record is from RNAcentral. Lineage: Eukaryota; Viridiplantae; Streptophyta; Magnoliopsida; Poales; Poaceae.
AUGCAAUGCGACAACGGGGGCGAAUUCCUCACUACCUCUCUGCGAGAUCUCUUCUCCAGACAUAGCGCUUCCUUUCGCCUCUCAUGCCCGCACACCUCGCCGCAAAACGGCAAGGCUGAGCGCGUCAUUCGCACCACCAACAACGUUCUUCGUGUCCUCCUCAUACACGCACGCCUUCCGCCCGCAUUUUGGGUUGAGGCUCUUCACACCGCUACCUACAUCCUAAACCGGCGCCCCUCUUCCGCCAUUAACCACAUGACGCCUCACUUCCUCCUCUUCGGGCAGCACCCCACAUACGAUCAUAUGCGCGCUUUCGGGUGUCUUUGUUUUCCCAACACACUUGCCACCAGCCCGCACAAACUCGCCCCCCGAUCUUCCUGUUGUGUUUUCCUUGGCUACCCGCUAGAACACAAGGGCUAUCGCUGCCUAGACCUGGCCACCCGCAAAGUUAUUAUUUCUCGGCACGUUACGUUCGACGAGAGUAUUUUUCCUUAUUUUUCU